Molecule: long non-coding RNA, 1862 nt
Organism: Lytechinus pictus (painted urchin)
Lineage: Eukaryota; Metazoa; Echinodermata; Echinoidea; Temnopleuroida; Toxopneustidae
Exons: 2
Source: RefSeq, a predicted model, not a curated record
UCGAGAGUAUCUACCAACCGAUUCUCUUCUACGCCGAUUCUCUGUACUACGCGAUGAAGGGAUUGGGUACCAAUGAUGAUAAACUCAUCCGAAUCGUCGUGGGCAGAUCCGAGAUCGAUCUGGCUUCUAUAAAGGUGAUGUUCAUGGAGAAGCACGCUACACCGCUAGCUACCAUGGUCACUGAUGAUACCAGUGGAGACUAUAAGAACGUGCUUCUUGGUAUCAUCAACGCCAAUGAGACGGCCACCACUCAAUCGACAACCAACUAGUCAUCGCAUUAACUAGUCAGCACAUCAAAUAUUCAGUAUAUCACCAAGUCAUCACAUGUUCAGCGCAACAAUUAGUCAUCAUAUCAAAUAGUCAAUACAUCAACCAGUCAAUGCACCAACUAGUCAUAGCAUAUCACCUCAUGAACUAGUCAUCCAACCAACUAGUCAGCAUAUAAACUUGUCAUCACAUCAAAUAUUCAGUGGCGGCACCAGUGGAAGAUGGGGGGGGGGGGGUAUGGAGACAUCCCCUAUAGUUGAAAUGCCCUUUCCCCUCCUUUGUCCCGAGGCAAACUCUGAAAAAGUAAUGAAGGGGAUACAAAUGGAGAUUAAUCCGGCCUUGCACCCGCUUCAUUAUUUCCAUUUGCCCUCCAUUAGCCCAAUCACUAUACAACAUCCUAGUAUUGCCGCUACAAAUAAUUGUCACAUCAACUACAACCAGGGGCGGAUCCAAGAUUUUCCAAAAGGGGAGCACAUUUUCCUAUGAAAAUUUGACAAGUAAAAAAAAUGAUUUUUUAAUAGGUUUUCACCUAAAAUCGGAGGUCAUUUUGUCGGCAGAAAAUUUGAAAAGCAAAAGAAAGAAAACAAAGGUCCUCACUUUCAAAGGGGGAGGGGGCACACUUGGGUAAAAGCGGUAGAUUUACUUUACAAAUUUUGAUUAUGGCUCUCAAAAAGGGGAGCAGGUCUGGCUAUGCCCCCCCCCCCUGGAUCCGCCAGUGACUACAACUUAUUCAUCAUUUCAACUAGUCAGCAUAUCAACUAGUCUUCACAUAAAAUGAUCAUCACAUCAACUAGUCAGCACAUCACCUAGCAGUACAUCAACUAGUCAGCAUAUCGAAUAGUCAUCACAUCAGCCAACGGACUACUGCAUGCGUUUGCCAUACCAGGUUAAGACUUGAAGUGCUUUGGAGCACAUGUAAAUACUUUUCCAUUUUAAGUAAUAAAGCAAUAUAUAUUAUACAUUUUAAUCGAUUGUAUAGACUCAUAAAGAUUGAAUUUCUCCUUACGAAUAUUCAAAGGCAUAUAUCACAUAUACGCUAGGUAUUCCUUUAAUGAAAAUGUAUUUUACUGGUAUUAUAAUUAUAAUUGUAAGUAUGUUACAUCGGACAAAACUUUGUGAAUUUUUAAAUUUUUGCAAUGGGAUAUGGAAUUUAUUUAUUGAUGAGCCUGUAUGAGAGAAAAGAAACCCUAAUGUGAAAAAAACAUUGAUCAAGAUUUAUUUGAAAAUGAUUUUAUUUCCUCUUUUGAUGGCAUGAAUGAAUGUAUUCAUGAAAGUAUUUUAUCCUCUUCGGUCAUUUAAAAGGUAAACAUUGGAAUUGUGGUUCUAUUAGUCUACACUUUUUUGAAAUUUUGCAUUAUAUUACAUAUAUAUAUCAUUGCAAAAAUUAUGAAAAUCGCUUGAUUGAAUUAAUUUUCUCUUUUAUUAAUUCCAAAAUUUCGAUCAUAUACAAUAGCUUUGAAUAUUUGAUUGUUCGUACAAAAUUAGAUUAUCUAAAUAUUAAUUAUUUUUCUCUGGAAAUAUAAUUAUAUAUAGCUGUAUAAGGUAGAUAAUAAUCGUAAUGAAAAUAAAUAAAGAAGGGAAGCCAAAAUAAAGAA